RNAcentral lists this ribosomal RNA (253 nucleotides) under uncultured bacterium. Its description in RNAcentral is "partial 16S ribosomal RNA". It matches the Rfam family "Bacterial small subunit ribosomal RNA", at positions 524 to 776 of the family's 1533-position model. The record is from RNAcentral.
UACGGAAGGGGCAAGCGUUGUUCGGAAUCAUUGGGCGUAAAGGGCGCGUAGGUGGUUCUGUAUGUCUACCGUGAAAGCAUACAGCUCAACUGUAUUUUGUCGGUAGAAACUGCAGGACUUGAGGCUGGGAGUGGCUGGUGGAAUUCCCUGUGUAGCGGUGAAAUGCGUAGAGAUGGGGGAGAACACUCGUGGCGAAGGCGGCCAGCUAGACCAGUUCUGACACUGAGGCGCGACAGCGUGGGGAGCAAACAGG